This 292-nucleotide ribosomal RNA is filed under the name uncultured bacterium. RNAcentral's name for it is "partial 16S ribosomal RNA". It matches the Rfam family "Bacterial small subunit ribosomal RNA", at positions 505 to 796 of the family's 1533-position model. The record is from RNAcentral.
GUGUCAGCAGCCGCGGUAAUACGUAGGUGGCGAGCGUUGUCCGGAUUUACUGGGCGUAAAGGAUGCGUAGGCGGAUAUUUAAGUGAGAUGUGAAAUACCCGAGCUUAACUUGGGUGCUGCAUUUCAAACUGGAUAUCUAGAGUGUGGGAGAGGAGAAUGGAAUUCCUAGUGUAGCGGUGAAAUGCGUAGAGAUUAGGAAGAACACCAGUGGCGAAGGCGAUUCUCUGGACCAUAACUGACGCUGAGGCAUGAAAGCGUGGGUAGCAAACAGGAUUAGAUACCCGCGUAGUCC